This 682-nucleotide unclassified non-coding RNA is filed under the name Balanophyllia imperialis. Its description in RNAcentral is "sequence contains ITS1, 5.8S rRNA gene and ITS2". The stretch from base 340 to 493 matches the Rfam family "5.8S ribosomal RNA". Lineage: Eukaryota; Metazoa; Cnidaria; Anthozoa; Scleractinia; Dendrophylliidae. The record is from RNAcentral.
CAGAGCGCCGGAUGCCGGGAAGUUGGUCAAACUUGAUCAUUUAGAGGAAGUAAAAGUCGUAACAAGGUUUCCGUAGGUGAACCUGCGGAAGGAUCAUUACCGAUGAUGCAAACCAAAAGGUUAUCAUUAACCUGUGUGAACUGUACUCAACCUUUAGGGGUCGGCCUUGGUGCCGUUAAAUGAUCGUGCGUCCGUUCUUUUUAAAAAAGUUCGGCGUCCGGCCAGCCCCGCCUUCCGCCAUUUGACGCACUUUAAUGUACCAGUCUGAAACAUGUUGCCAGCCCGCUGCCCUAUGUAAGAUAGGAGGCGGGCGUGUAGGAAAAUGAGAGAAAGAGAGACAACUUUUAACGGUGGAUCUCUUGGCUCACGUAUCGAUGAAGAACGCAGCCAGCUGCGAUAAGUAGUGUGAAUUGCAGAAUUCAGUGAAUCAUCGAAUCUUUGAACGCAAAUGGCGCUCUUGGGUUCUCCCAGGAGCAUGUCUGUCUGAGUGUCGGAUAUUAUCUAACGCACUCCCGCGUGCGGAAUUGAGGAGUCACGGCGUGAUCAUUUGUCGCCGUGUCCCUCGAAGGCGAGCGUGCUUAGACUCGCAUCGUGCGGUUUAAAACCCGCACCCCAUUGCGAAGGCUAAAGAUAUUUUGUCCUUCGUCGGGGUGCGAGUCCGCCACAGCGCGAGUCGGCCGAA